GGAUCUGAUUAUUAAUUUAACACUAUUUGAAAAGAUAAAUGUCAAUUUAAGAUUGUGGCUACCAUAGUAACCAUUUAUAUGACCCUAAGCAAAAAAAAGAGAAAUCGCCAAAAAUAUGUAUUUUAUAGCUUCUGCAUACAAAUAUUUACUCCGGUAUUCUUUCUAAAAAUCAUAUCUCAAACAAAAUGGUUGUUGUGAAGGUUACCAUGUCAGUAAAGAUUAAGACUUUGUCAACUCUCAAGAGUCUGUAAAUAACAGUUAACAUGGUUAAGUGGUAAAAUUAUGAAAAUUUUAAGUGUAAAUUUAAUCAGAACCUGUGAAAAUGCAUACAUCUUGCACCUCAUUUCACUUCAACUUUGAAAUAAUAUACUACAGAGUUGCACUGGUGCUAAAACACUAUGCAAACAAAACACAAGUCAAUGUCUCUGUCUAUGAUUGAAAUCCAAAUCUCACUAUUAACUUAUAAAAGCAAGAACAAAAUGUUGUCAAAUUCACAGAUGCUCGUAUGCUCCAUGCACACUAUCAUUUUCUAUGUUUAGUUGACUGUGAAAUUGGGGGAAAAAUCUAAUUUGGCAUUUAGACAUAUUAAAUUAGAAAUCAUAUCUUAGGGAACAUGUGUACUAAGUUUCAAGUUGAUCAAGUUGAUUGGAGUUCAAUUUCAUCAAAAACUACCUUGACCAAAAUCUUUUACCAAAAACUUAUAACGGAAACUCUUACCAUCAUUGUCUAUGUUCAAUGGAUCGUGAGUUUGAUGUCUCUUUUGGU
Molecule: long non-coding RNA, 765 nt
Filed under: Mytilus galloprovincialis (Mediterranean mussel)
Lineage: Eukaryota; Metazoa; Mollusca; Bivalvia; Mytilida; Mytilidae
Source: RNAcentral